CUACGGGUUGCUCCAGUGGGGAAUAUUGCACAAUGGAGGAAACUCUGAUGCAGCAACGCCGCGUGGAGGAUGACACAUUUCGGUGCGUAAACUCCUUUUAUGUGAGAAGAUAAUGACGGUAUCACAUGAAUAAGCACCGGCUAACUCCGUGCCAGCAGCCGCGGUAAUACGGAGGGUGCAAGCGUUACUCGGAAUCACUGGGCGUAAAGCGCGCGCAGGCGGCUUUUCAAGUUGGAUGUGAAAUCCUAUGGCUUAACCAUAGAACUGCAUCCAAAACUGUUAAGCUAGAGUCUGGGAGGGGAAGAUGGAAUUAGUUGUGUAGGGGUAAAAUCCGUAGAGAUAACUAGGAAUACCAAAAGCGAAGGCGAUCUUCUGGAACAGUACUGACGCUGAGGCGCGAAAGCGUGGGGAGCAAACAGGAUUAGAUACCCCCGUAGUC
This 439-nucleotide ribosomal RNA is filed under the name uncultured bacterium. RNAcentral describes it as "partial 16S ribosomal RNA". It matches the Rfam family "Bacterial small subunit ribosomal RNA", at positions 339 to 795 of the family's 1533-position model. The record is from RNAcentral.